This 468-nucleotide ribosomal RNA is filed under the name uncultured bacterium. RNAcentral describes it as "partial 16S ribosomal RNA". It matches the Rfam family "Bacterial small subunit ribosomal RNA", at positions 28 to 507 of the family's 1533-position model. The record is from RNAcentral.
GACGAACGCUGGCGGCGUGCUUAACACAUGCAAGUCGAACGGAAAGGCCCUGCUUUUGUGGGUUUCUCGUUUGCCGCACGCGUGUGUAACACCUGAGUAACCUCCCCUUUUCUUUCUGAUAUCUUCUGGAAACUCCGGCUAAUACCCGAUAUGAUCUCCUGCUCCUUGUUGGUCGUUGGUAAGUUUCGGCGGUUGUGGAUGUAGUGGCUGCUUAUCAGCUUGUUUGUGGGGUUGUUGCUUACCAAGGCUUUGACGGGUAGCCGGCCUGUGAGGGUGACCGGGCACAAUGGGACUGAGAGAGGGACCAGACUGCAACGGGAGGCAGCAGUGGGGAAUAUUGCACAAUGGGCGGAAGCCUGAUGCAGAAACGCCGGGUGCGGGAUGACGGGCUUCGGGUUGUAAACAGAUUUCGACUGUGACGAAGAGUGAGUGACGGUAAUGGGUAAAGAAGCACCGGCUAACUACGUG